Molecule: non-coding RNA, 97 nt
Organism: Mycena capillaripes
Lineage: Eukaryota; Fungi; Basidiomycota; Agaricomycetes; Agaricales; Mycenaceae
Source: the annotation of a GenBank genome assembly
GCCUCUGUGGAUUAAUCGGCAACUCAGCUCUGUUCAGUUCUGCGUUUACCGGAGACCAUUGCGAGAGUUGAUGUGGGUUCGAAUCCCACCAGAGGCA